CUUUAUUGGGGUUGCGGACAUAUCAUAACGAAGAGGUAUCGUAAUUGAAGAGGUUUGGAAAGACCCACCACAGAAGGUAAUAGUCCUGUAUGUUAAACGAGAAGACUUUAGAUAUGAUCCAGAGUACCACGGGACACGUGAAACCCUGUGGGAAGCAGGAGGGACCACCCUCCAAGGCUAAAUACUACCUAGUGACCGAUAGCGUAUAGUACCGUGAGGGAAAGG
Molecule: ribosomal RNA, 225 nt
Filed under: Clostridioides difficile
Lineage: Bacteria; Bacillati; Bacillota; Clostridia; Peptostreptococcales; Peptostreptococcaceae
Description: partial 23S ribosomal RNA
Rfam family: Bacterial large subunit ribosomal RNA
Source: RNAcentral